CAAUACCUACAGGAAGCCCCACAUUUCUCUGUGGUGGCACCACUCAGAUGAACUGCCAAGGACAGACCAGCACUUGAGCAAUUAGCAGUGGCAAAUUAAAAGCUCAGCAAACCUCACACCUCUGGUCUCAGCCACUAACACCUUACUAAGUCCCCUCCUGAGUGUGGAUCACAUCAUUUUCUAACCCACCAAACAGGACGAGAUUCCCACAGCUUCAGAGUCUGAGUACUCAAAAAUGUUUGAGUUCUACCUAAAACAUCACAAUCUUCAGUGUGGGGAAAAAAAAAAUGGGGAAGAAAAACAAAAAAACAAAAAACAAAAACAUCUCCUCUCCCAAACCACCCUCAGGUUCCCUAAGUACUUCCUAGAUUUCUUGUUUGCAGAAACUUCUCCUCUUCCUGUCUCUCUGCUUACUAAAGGCGUGGGGAUCGGUAACACCCAGACACACCUGACCGAGUGCUCUACUUACACCUCUCCAUUGUACCCCCACCUCUUUCUGCAUCUCCCACAAGUUGCUGCCAAGGUGGCUGCUCAGUCCCCGGAGGCUGGGCUGGGUCCUGUCCCCUUUAGCGAGGAUUGUGGCAGCCGGUGUCCCUGCAGGGAAGUCAGCCUGUGCUGGCUGAGGAUAGAAGAUGAGGAAAGUCUGAAUGCUUAAGCAGCCAACCCAAGGCCCCUUAGAACCUGCUUCCCUUUCUACAGCACUAAUAGGGCCCUGAGGGCAUUAGUGUGCUUUAAUUGCCCUGAGCGACCUCACCUGGGACCUCCUCCCACCUCCUCUGAACGUGGCCCCUGAGCUCUGCUUAAAGUCAGGCCUGAGCACCCAGUCAUGGUGUGAGCAGCUGGGUUUGUCUUCAGUUCUGCCUCCAGCUUUAUUUCUCGGCUGUGUCUCAGACCUAGAUUGUAGGUGACUUCCCCAGUCUUAUAUCAUCCAUGCACAUCUGGUGAUUACCUACGGGUCCUGCCAUCAGCACCCUGCCCUGGCCCAGCUCCCUGGACAGCGAGGGCACUGCCUGGGCUGCAGCAGCCCCACUCCCACUGCUCCCUACACGGCGAGAUGUUUCUGACCAUGCCUGGGGAGUUCCUCAGCAUUUCCUUAAGGAGCAGCUGCGUUGGUGCUUCUUGUCCUUGCCAGUUCUUGUGAACUUGUUCUUUCUCAGCUCCUGGCUGGCUGUGGUACACUACAAGCUUGGGCUGGAGAAACUGCUAGUUUGGUGACCCCAGUGUCUUCUUGUGAGGCCGUAGCUGAAAAAGUUCUCAUCUGUCUGCUGGUGUGCAAGGUGGCUCUAAAGCUUACUCCUGAUACAAGAACCACAACCUGCUGCAAGGAUGGAGAGGAUGGUGGCAUCUGCCAGCAGCUAACCAUGGGAGAUGGAGCAUGCCAAGGAGUCACAGCCCAGCUAAGAUCCACAGGGAUGCCAACACAGGGCGUCCAUCAGAAAUAGAAAAGCCUGCUAAGCUGGUAACAUCCAGCAACUGCUCGAAUUCUCGGAAAAUCCACUUGGAUUCUUGGGCUUGAGUUAUUGGCCCUGCCACUUGGACAGCCCAGGUUUGACUGUUGAGCUUAAACACCACUUCUUAUGCGUGACAGCUGGAGUACAAAAAUAAGCAUGUAUUUCUGCUCAAAAACAAAUUGGUGGCUGCUGACUGGCUUUGGUGAGAGAAUAAUAUGGGAAAGAUGAAAAGGUGGUGGAUGUGUUGGGGAAAUGGCAGGUAUUGUGCAUUAAUUUUAGAGAAGCAUGACAAGGAGAUGGGGCAAGAGCUAGCUUGGAGUUUGGAGUGGGAUGGAGUAUAAACUGUUCUAGCUGGUUCAUCCUUUAUGCAUUGAAACAAGGUUUUCUAUGUUCUUAGUCUUCCAUUUGAAAAAGAAAAGAAGACUAGAAACUGAGGCUACAAUCAAUUAAAUAAAUAAAUAAAAAGAGUAUUCCAAAGGACAAAAUGUUUGCAGGUCACUGGAGACUGUUUAAAGAGUAAAUGUGUGCCACCAAGCCCAAAAAGACUUGGAGAGGGAGGAGAACUGGGUUAAGGCAGUCAUUAGAUGCUAGAAAAAAAGCCUUGAAUAAACUGAAUUUACAUCCAAAUGGGCAGGCAAUAUAAGGGACAACAAACUUGUUUGCGAACAUCAGGGGGUGGGGGAAGUGUGCUAGAAGGCUUUUAAGAUCAAAGCAUAAAAUGAGUCUUCCAAGAUAAGGCUAUCAGAAGUUAGAUACUGAUAUUUAUAAGCAUCACAAAAGAGCCUAAGAGCUUCCUACCCUGGGAGCUUUUGCCGCUGGGAACUCAGAUUUGACUGAAGCUGAGAUGCAGGUAGAAGAAGUUUCAAAACAGUAAUGAGUGUGUGAAUUAAUCGGAUUAUGUCCCCAUGUUCAAACAAAAACCCUGAAGGAGUAAAAGAUGAAACAGCUGGAAUAAGUUCUUACUCAGAACUGUUUCAGUACUGGAGGACAGGAAAGUGGCCAAUAUGCCAACAAAUUUUCAAAGGGUUCCCAGUGACAUCUGUGGAGCCAUAGGAUCAGUGCUUUCCUGUAGAGUAGGUAGAAUUACAAUAAAAAGAGAGUGGCAAUGCUCAACUGUAUAGGAAAACGUGACAUUGUAGCAGCAGCAUAGCAGAUGUCAGCAUGAGAUCUUGGUGGAGAUGAUCUUGUUCCGAGUUAGAACUCUUCUUUUCCACACCCACAGGCAGGUACCAAGGAGAUGUCCUUGGUCUGGU
Long non-coding RNA from Anas platyrhynchos (mallard), 2704 nucleotides. RefSeq lists it as uncharacterized. NCBI's taxonomy places the organism in Eukaryota, Metazoa, Chordata, Aves, Anseriformes, Anatidae. The record is from RefSeq and is a predicted model, not a curated record.